This 513-nucleotide ribosomal RNA is filed under the name uncultured bacterium. RNAcentral describes it as "bacterial SSU rRNA". It matches the Rfam family "Bacterial small subunit ribosomal RNA", at positions 338 to 847 of the family's 1533-position model. The record is from RNAcentral.
CCUACGGGAGGCAGCAGUGGGGAAUUUUGGACAAUGGGCGCAAGCCUGAUCCAGCAAUGCCGCGUGCAGGAUGAAGGCCUUCGGGUUGUAAACUGCUUUUGUACGGAACGAAACGGUGAGCUCUAAUACAGUUUGCUAAUGACGGUACCGUAAGAAUAAGCACCGGCUAACUACGUGCCAGCAGCCGCGGUAAUACGUAGGGUGCGAGCGUUAAUCGGAAUUACUGGGCGUAAAGCGUGCGCAGGCGGUGAUGUAAGACAGAUGUGAAAUGCCCGGGCUCAACCUGGGACCUGCAUUUGUGACUGCAUCGCUAGAGUACGGUAGAGGGGGAUGGAAUUCCGCGUGUAGCAGUGAAAUGCGUAGAUAUGCGGAGGAACACCGAUGGCGAAGGCAAUCCCCUGGACCUGUACUGACGCUCAUGCACGAAGACGGUGGGAGGACAACAGGAUAGUAUACCUCGUAGUCCACCGACCCUAACCGAUGUCACUGGUUGGUUGGGUUCGUUCUACUGAC